Molecule: long non-coding RNA, 1348 nt
Filed under: Coturnix japonica (Japanese quail)
Lineage: Eukaryota; Metazoa; Chordata; Aves; Galliformes; Phasianidae
Description: lncRNA (ENSCJPG00005009866.1)
Source: RNAcentral
UGUUCUCCAACAAAUGCUCUUUCCACACUCUCGGGAAGGUUCCAGUAAUGCUAUUAAAAAAAAAAAAAAAAAAAAAAAAAAGGAAAAAAAAGAAGGAGAUCUAUCAAAUUCUGUAAUCCUUCUCUGUUUACAUAAGCCCAGACAGAGCAUCUCAUGCAGCAGAGCCCUGUAUUCAGGCAGGAGCUGUGUUACCUAACUAGGUGUACCAGGACUUAUUACAAAGUCUACCCUUGUGUACGAAAAUCAGUUCAGCUCUAUAUUCCAGCUGAUAAACGGACCGUCUGUAUCUUUAGGUGAUUCAUCUGUGUGACGAAUGCUAAAGUAUCCAGAUUCAGUUUUCUCUAAAUAUAUAUUUUAUAAAACCAUUCUCUCUGUGACACGAGGGUUUCGUUCUUCUUGGCCUUUCCUUGGUAUUAUGCUAUACAUCCCUUUGGCUUGCCAGUUGCAGCGCUGACCGGGGGGAAGAACCCAACAAAUUGGCUUUGCUACAGGGUUUGCCAGUGGGAGUCCAGGGAGAAAACCGAGCUGAAACUGGCACACACGCUGCAUUUACUUUGAGCUUGUAUUUCAGCCGCCUAGCAAACCCAAUGGGAAACUUAAUUUCUAAACAUGAACAUUAUUGAAUUUCAGCAGCUAUAUUUAGGUCAGUCUCUUCAUGCCAAAAUUAUUAGGCUUUACUAGGAAAGAAAUACAUUACCAGCUAGAAACAUGUUAGCACUACUUGUGUUAAAUGGAGUAACUGUAUUUUAAUGCACUUUUACCCCAAUCUGAAGAUCCAGUGUCUGCUUCUGACAUCAUGAAAAACCUGAGAAGCUUGUAUCUGGAUGUUUUACAAGUAUUUUCUUUAUCGGGCAAUCACUCAAUCUGGCUCAGACAGAUAUUUCUGUUGGGGAAAUGCUCUUUACCAUUUUUUUUUUCCUAUGCCUGUGCUGCUCCUUUCUUUGUGCUAGUGCAGGUGUUACAGUGAAGGAGAGUUUGCUGAAGAAAAUGAUCUGGGAAAAAUACCAUGCAGAAAAAGGUGAAGGGAAUCCAGAGAAUUUAAACAUUUGGAGGCAGAAGAAAAAAUAUGCAAUGCAGUCAGCACCUCAGAUUGCAACAGCCAGUGCACUUGGUUGGCAUUGUGAAAUACAAAAUAACAAAGCCUAAAGCUCCGUGGAAGACACCCUGCAACACCAGCCAUUUUCUGCCUAUCGCUGUGUCAUCUGAGCCAUCCUUAGUUCGUUUGCUCCUUGAUGUUAUUUUUUUCAGUGCCUGUGAAACUAGGAAUGGCACGCAGCAUGCUUGGAAUUUGGCCAGGUUCCUGUUGAGAUAGUAGAAUGGAAAGAAAAUAAAAAAGUACACUGACCCA